RNAcentral lists this ribosomal RNA (257 nucleotides) under uncultured Clostridium sp. RNAcentral describes it as "partial 16S ribosomal RNA". It matches the Rfam family "Bacterial small subunit ribosomal RNA", at positions 326 to 603 of the family's 1533-position model. Lineage: Bacteria; Bacillati; Bacillota; Clostridia; Eubacteriales; Clostridiaceae. The record is from RNAcentral.
ACGGCCCAAACUCCUACGGGAGGCAGCAGUGGGGAAUAUUGCACAAUGGGGGAAACCCUGAUGCAGCGACGCCGCGUGAGUGAAGAAGUAUUUCGGUAUGUAAAGCUCUAUCAGCAGGGAAGAAAAUGACGGUACCUGACUAAGCCCCGGCUAACUACGUGCGGGCAGCCGCGGUAAUACGUAGGGGGCAAGCGUUAUCCGGAUUUACUGGGUGUAAAGGGAGCGCAGGUGGCGUGGCAAGUCAGAAGUGAAAGCGG